AGAGUUUGAUCCUGGCUCAGAUUGAACGCUGGCGGAAUGCUUUACACAUGCAAGUCGGACGGCAGCACGGACUUCGGUCUGGUGGCGAGUGGCGAACGGGUGAGUAAUAUAUCGGAACGUAUCCAAUAAUGGGGGAUAACUAAUCGAAAGGUUGGCUAAUACCGCAUACGCCCUACGGGGGAAAGCAGGGGAUCUUCGGACCUUGCGUUAAUGGAGCGGCUGAUAUCUGAUUAGCUAGUUGGUGAGGUAAAGGCUCACCAAGGCGACGAUCAGUAGCUGGUCUGAGAGGACGACCAGCCACACUGGAACUGAGACACGGUCCAGACUCCUACGGGAGGCAGCAGUGGGGAAUUUUGGACAAUGGGCGCAAGCCUGAUCCAGCCAUUCCGCGUGAGUGAAGAAGGCCCUCGGGUUGUAAAGCUCUUUCGCAAGGGAAGAAAACUUACUUUUUAAUAAAGAGUGAGGUUGGCGGUACCUUGAUAAGAAGCACCGGCUAACUACGUGCCAGCAGCCGCGGUAAUACGUAGGGUGCGAGCGUUAAUCGGAAUUACUGGGCGUAAAGCGUGCGCAGGCGGUUUUGUAAGUCAGAUGUGAAAUCCCCGAGCUCAACUUGGGAACUGCGUUUGAAACUACAAGACUAGAAUAUGUCAGAGGGGGGUAGAAUUCCACGUGUAGCAGUGAAAUGCGUAGAGAUGUGGAGGAAUACCAAUGGCGAAGGCAGCCCCCUGGGAUAAUAUUGACGCUCAUGCACGAAAGCGUGGGGAGCAAACAGGAUUAGAUACCCUGGUAGUCCACGCCCUAAACGAUGUCUACUAGUUGUUGGUGGAGUAAAAUCCAUGAGUAACGCAGCUAACGCGUGAAGUAGACCGCCUGGGGAGUACGGUCGCAAGAUUAAAACUCAAAUGAAUUGACGGGGGCCCGCACA
Molecule: ribosomal RNA, 925 nt
Filed under: uncultured bacterium
Lineage: Bacteria
Description: bacterial SSU rRNA
Rfam family: Bacterial small subunit ribosomal RNA
Source: RNAcentral